UGGAAAGCAGCUUAGAGACAGAGCAUUUGCCUGUCACGCAUAAGGCCUUGGGUUCAGUUCCCAGCCCUGCAA
This 72-nucleotide transfer RNA is filed under the name Fukomys damarensis (Damara mole-rat). It matches the Rfam family "tRNA". From Rfam's summary of the family: Transfer RNA (tRNA) molecules are approximately 80 nucleotides in length. Their secondary structure includes four short double-helical elements and three loops (D, anti-codon, and T loops). Further hydrogen bonds mediate the characteristic L-shaped molecular structure. tRNAs have two regions of fundamental functional importance: the anti-codon, which is responsible for specific mRNA codon recognition, and the 3' end, to which the tRNAs corresponding amino acid is attached (by aminoacyl-tRNA synthetases). tRNAs cope with the degeneracy of the genetic code in two manners: having more than one tRNA (with a specific anti-codon) for a particular amino acid; and 'wobble' base-pairing, i.e. permitting non-standard base-pairing at the 3rd anti-codon position. Lineage: Eukaryota; Metazoa; Chordata; Mammalia; Rodentia; Bathyergidae. The record is from Rfam by way of RNAcentral.